This 479-nucleotide ribosomal RNA is filed under the name uncultured marine eukaryote. RNAcentral describes it as "bacterial SSU rRNA". It matches the Rfam family "Eukaryotic small subunit ribosomal RNA", at positions 619 to 1057 of the family's 1831-position model. The record is from RNAcentral.
UUAAAAAGCUCGUAGUUGGAUUUCUGGCGCUCAUCUCCGUUGUUGUCGUUUUGUGCGAGUGUCAUCAUUUCGGUGGUGUUUGUGUAGUUCGAAUUGUACGACGUGAGUUGUUGGGUGUCAUCCUUGUGGCAUAAUCGUACAGUCAUUAAGUUGAUUGUUUUCGAGGAGCCCAUCGUUUACUGUGAAUAAAUUAGAGUGUUCAAAGCAGGCUUAGGCUGUGAAUACAUUAGCAUGGAAUAAUAAUAUAGGACUUUGGUUCUGUGUUGUUGGUUGGAGGCCAAGGUAAUGAUUAAUAGGGAUAGUUGGGGGUAUUCAUAUUUCAUUGUCAGAGGUGAAAUUCUUGGAUUUAUGAAAGAUGACCGUAUGCGAAAGCAUUUACCAAGGAUGUUUUCAUUAAUCAAGAACGAAAGUUAGGGGAUCGAAGAGGAUUAGAUACCCUCGGUAGUCUUAACCAUAAACUAUGCCGACUCGGGAUUGGA